UACAGAGGUCUCAAGCGUUGUUCGGAUUCAUUGGGCGUAAAGGGUGCGUAGGCGGCGCGGUAAGUCGGGUGUGAAAUCUCGGAGCUUAACUCCGAAACUGCAUUCGAUACUGCCGUGCUUGAGGACUGGAGAGGAGACUGGAAUUUACGGUGUAGCGGUGAAAUGCGUAGAUAUCGUAAGGAACACCAGUGGCGAAGGCGGCUCACUGGCCCGGUACUGACGCUGAGGUGCGAAAGCGUGGGGAGCAAACAGG
Molecule: ribosomal RNA, 253 nt
Filed under: uncultured bacterium
Lineage: Bacteria
Description: partial 16S ribosomal RNA
Rfam family: Bacterial small subunit ribosomal RNA
Source: RNAcentral